Xiphophorus hellerii (green swordtail) is the source of this 2986-nucleotide long non-coding RNA. RefSeq lists it as uncharacterized. NCBI's taxonomy places the organism in Eukaryota, Metazoa, Chordata, Actinopteri, Cyprinodontiformes, Poeciliidae. The transcript is spliced from 4 exons. The record is from RefSeq and is a predicted model, not a curated record.
AUUUGGUAAAUAAUGACAAUUUUAAUGCAAAGUUGACAUUAUUCAAAAUUUCUUUGUUAUGACAACUUGACAGAAACCUACCCAGCUAGCAAGCAAAUGUACGGACUAUGUCCGCCGAAUGUAGUCUGAAAGUCGGACUUCAAAUGUUCGGACUUGACAUUCGCCGAAAGUUGUCUUAACAUUCACUCCAAACAUUCGCACAUUAUGGAUAAAAUAUUUUUGCUGUAAUUUUAUUUAAUCAAUUUUAAUAUCUUUAAAACCUUUAUGGUGGUUAAUAUUUUUGACAAAAUCUUUAGUUUUGUCCUUUUAGAAAGUCUGCAUCUCUGAAUGUUGACUGAAAUUUGUAUGAACGUCCAUAUGUGAUGUUUUUAUAAAAUGCGGUUACUAACUUUAAUACCAUACUUAGGCACUAGGGGGCUCCACGCCCUGCCAAACAUUAUCCUCUCCAUUCAAAUAAUGGUUAUAAGUCUGAUUUUUCUGAUUGCCUUUCCUGCAUAAUCUGCAUUGCAUUUAUUCUAAAGUAACGUAAAUCUCAAAGGAGAGUAAUACUUAAAUAAAAGUCCAAGAAGUACUUUCAUUUAGAAAAUAUUUAUAUUAUGCCGAGUGACGUCACUUCCCAACCCAGAUUGUGUUCAGAUUUCUACAGUUAUGAAACAACGCUUCUGUAUUUCACAUGAAACCGAUGAGAUCUACCUUGUUAGGUAAGUUUUUGGUUUGCAUACUUAUUUGUAUCAUAUUCUGACCAAGCAUGUGUUUAGAGCGUAAAAAGGCAUAUAGCUUGUAACCGACACUUUUUAUGUGUACGUUUGUAUCACAUCGUCCUUCAUAUCGACCACAUGGCGCCAUUAUCUUAUGACUUCUCAAUUUUUAUUAUAAGUUUGACGCAGCCAGAAAUAUUUUUCUGUGUGGAAUGUGCUGCUCUUUUUUUUCUCUCGAUGUUGUAGUUUCCUGGACCAUAGUGUCAACAUAACUGGUAAGCAGGUAAUCAAGAAAGUUUGUGGUCGGUCUGCUUCAUUCAUAGACUGAGGGCCAUAGAAAAAACCCCAGCAUGGCCUCAGUCCACAUAUCUACCGAAAGUCAGUCAGAAUGGUGCUGCUAGCUUAUGAGUAAAAUUGAUAGAAGGAACUGAGUGCAAAUUGUCUUUUUCAGCGUAUCAAAUGGAAACAUUUAUGUUUGAGAUGUACUUUGCCCCUUUUAAAAAACCAGGUUAAAGAAAAUAAAUGCAUUAAUACUUUAUACUGCCAAAUGUGCAAAGCUUACUGACAUUUUCCAACACAACAAUGAAAAGAGGCAGCUGGUAAAGGGAGUUACACAAUUUAAUUUUCCUUUGUGAUCAAUGAAGUAUUUUUGAAUUGAAUUAUUUUUUGAUCCAUAGGUGGAAUCUAACUAACAGCAGGAUCGACAGGACCAGUCCUUCAAAGUGUUGUCGAUGCUGAUGGCUGUGAGCAGGAAGGAUCUCCUGUAGCAGUCUGUGUUACAAGCCUCUGACUGAAGACACUGUUUUUCUAUGAUAGUCUCAUGAAGAGGAUGCUCAGGGUUGGUCAUACUCUUCCUUUAUGAACAUUAUUGGCAUUUCAUACUAUUAAUAAUAUACUAUUUAAAUGUUUGCUGUAAUAGAUUUGAUUAAAGUAAUAACUAUUUUUUCUGAUAUGUAAUUUCAGGUGACAACGUGAAAGUAAGGCAUAAAUUCGCCUGGCUGAAGAUGUCAAACCUCAAAAGCAGAAUCCCAGAACGAUCAGGUGUAAAAGGUUUUUCUAUGGCAGUAAUUAGGAUUAUUGGCUGCAAAGAGAGCGAGUUCUUCGUGGUUUCCUUCAGUUGGAUCUCUUUAUGCUGCUUCAAUGUUAUUAGGAGAUUUAAAAACCACCUGCCUUUACUACUGUAUUACAGACCACAUCAAAAUACAUGACAAUCAAGUAUUAAUGGACAGAACUUGCCUUAAAUUAAAUAAAUUAUGCUGAUGUUUAUUCAGGUUUUUUAAUUAAAUGUUUUUGUUACAGGUGAACUGAGAUCUAUUCAGAUUCUGAGGAAAAGCCACAGAUUCAGAGAAUCUCCCCCAUGACCAGCAUUUCCAUGUAGCCACAGCCUCCCACGUGUCAUCUACCUUCACCAUCUUAUCCACUCUGAUGAUCCACCAGCUGCUCUGUGUUCACCUGUGGCCGUUUAAUCCAACAGGGCUGAAGGCUCUCAGUCUACAUUGUCUUCUUUGGCCACUGGGUAUUAAAUGCUCUGAGUUAUUUUACAUUCUAUUUUACUGAAUUUUUUUUGUCAUUCUUUGCAGACUGGAGCAUUCAGUGUAACGUCUUCAAAGCUUUAGAGGAGGUGAAGGAGACGGCCUUGGAAAACCACAGGAUGCUGCGAGUCAUUCUGAUCCGACUUACAGCCACUGAUUCUCCUGAAGAGAAGGAUUCACUGGAUCAGCUCGACCUUCCAUCCUCCACCGCAUAAAAAUUAAAAGUCCUGAACCAAAAACUGGAGUCAGGAGCUGUUCAGAAAUAAAUACUGGAUCUCUGAGGGACCUGAUUGGCUGUCUACAACAUUUUAUCCAAAAUCCUCUCAAACCGCCAAGCAGAGCAGUAGAGCGAACAGGAUGGAGAGAGAAGUCUUUCUGCUCACCAGCACUUGGUGACUGAAUUUAAGGCUGUACCAAAGAACCAAAGGUCAGAUUCAGAACACCAAAACAGUUUUAAGAAGGCUCAACGUUGUCUGGUUUGUUUGUUGGUUUUUUUAUUAUUAUUAUUUUGUGCAUGUGUCAACGCUCAUGAAAUCAGUUAUGGCGUAAAUAUCUCUUUUAAAGUCAUAUUUUUAAGCAGUGGUUGUUUUUUAAAUGCACUUUGCCUUGAUUUAUUAUUAUUGUGAAUGUCUUUUCUGAAAACUCAUUUCACUAAAAUUGAUACCGCGCUAUUUCACUUUGUUAUAAGCAAGGCUUCAUUAAUGUCUUUUUGGUACAUAUGUACUGCAUAUGUAUGAAUAAAUGUAAUUCUUUUUU